Molecule: long non-coding RNA, 1083 nt
Organism: Gasterosteus aculeatus aculeatus (three-spined stickleback)
Lineage: Eukaryota; Metazoa; Chordata; Actinopteri; Perciformes; Gasterosteidae
Source: Ensembl
UCAGGAACACAUGGACACGUCACAAGGGGUCACCUGCUCAUCAGGCGUGAGGCAAACAAAGCCUCUUGGUGGAGAAGAGACAUUUAACAGGUUAAAUGAGGCCAUUGAGAGUCGACUCGUCCUAACGUCUAACGUCCUCCGUCCUACCUUCAGCUCCUGCAGGUGGAGAUCUCUAAAGGGGAUUUUUAUCAGCUUCUGCAGUAUAAUUAUGGACCUGCCAGGACCACGGAACAUGAAGGAAGAACAAGCGUGAAUGCAGUGUCACCCGAGGGUCGCUUGCUCCUGAGAUAAAGAAGAAAUGGUAGAAAUGAAAAAUGUUUUGCCGCGGUGAGGCGAUCGAUGGCUGCAGCCACGGAGGGGAAAACCAUUUAUUUUGCCAUUUGAUACAUGAUAUUUCUCACUGUAUUUGCUGGCAAUACGUCAUGUGAUUUGUAACCAUAACAUGUCCUUUCACUGUUUAGGAAAACCGCAACAAGCCGCGAUGUUUCUGAAGUUGGAAGGAAAGAUGUUUUUUUAUCUCUUUGCAUGUGUGAACGAUGUGCUUUUGACAUCUGAGUCCUGAAUGCUGGAUCGUGGUUGGGCUGAUUCUCGGCACCCCGACAUGCUGUGUGGGAUUAUUGUUUCUACUCACACUCACCUUUUCUCUCCCAGCGCGAUGAUGGUUUUGAUGGUAUCAUUUUCAUUGUGGAAAAAUUGAACCGUGAGAGAAAACGCGUGGUUGAGCUGAGUGCACUUCAGCCGGGAUCGCUGUAGAGAAGCUCCGAUACGACACCAAUGGACAAGAGACAUGACUCCACCCCAUCUUCAGCUGGACAAUGGUCAUUGCUCCAAUUCGCACAAUCUGAAUGUCGUGUAAUUUGAUAGAUUGCAUUAGCGGGUGGGCCAUCGAUCUAAAGCAAAAAGAGCAUCCAGAGCUCAUCGAUCAAAAUGCAAAGCACAGAUGAUGCUUCGUGCCGUUUGGGAAACUCACAACUGAACGUUUAAAGUGAGAUAAUUGCCUCUACAAGCUAAACGACAACGUUAAAUAUUGAAAAAACAAGGAAAGAGCCCCAGAUUCAGCACCCUGGACAGCGGUCGAGUCUU